RNAcentral lists this ribosomal RNA (507 nucleotides) under uncultured bacterium. Its description in RNAcentral is "partial 16S ribosomal RNA". It matches the Rfam family "Bacterial small subunit ribosomal RNA", at positions 28 to 507 of the family's 1533-position model. The record is from RNAcentral.
GACGAACGCUGGCGGCGUGCCUAAUACAUGCCAGUCGAACGCAUUUUCUUUCACCGUAGCUUGCUACACCGAAAGAAAAUGAGUGGCGAACGGGUGAGUAACACGUGGGUAACCUGCCCAUCAGCGGGGGAUAACACUUGGAAACAGGUGCUAAUACCGCAUAAUUCCAUUUACUGCAUGGUAGAUGGAUGAAAGGCGCUUUUGCGUCACUGAUGGAUGGACCCGCGGUGCAUUAGCUAGUUGGUGGGGUAACGGCCUACCAAGGCUGCGAUGCAUAGCCGACCUGAGAGGGUGAUCGGCCACACUGGGACUGAGACACGGCCCAGACUCCUACGGGAGGCAGCAGUAUGGAAUCUUCGGCAAUGGACGCAAGUCUGACCGAGCAACGCCGCGUGAGUGAAGAAGGGUUUCGGAUCGUAAAACUCUGUUGUUAGAAAAGAACAAGGAUGAGAGUGGAAAGUUCAUCCCUUGACGGUAUCUAACCAGAAAGCCACGGCUAACUACGUG